CAAUCUGCACUUUACAACGCUCUGUUUGUACAUGUGCCUUGACCUGUUGCUAUCUGUCUGCUUUGUGAAUAUGUAUUUUAUGCUUUUAUCAUAAUAUAAGCAUCUCUGUUGAAUGUUGUUU
Molecule: long non-coding RNA, 121 nt
Organism: Notothenia coriiceps (black rockcod)
Lineage: Eukaryota; Metazoa; Chordata; Actinopteri; Perciformes; Nototheniidae
Exons: 3
Source: RefSeq, a predicted model, not a curated record